GUUUUUUUCCUUCACAUUCUCCUUCAGGAUGCUUCUCAGCUGCUUCAGAUAUUACAGAGUCUCCAUCCUCCUUUGAAAAUUGAUGGCAAAACUAUUGGGGUUGAUUUUGCAAAAAGUGCCAGAAAAGACUUGGUCCUCUCAGAUGGUAACCGCGUCAGCGCCUUCUCUGUAGCUAGUACGGCUAUUGCUGCUGCUCAGUGGUCAUCCACCCAGUCUCAAAGUGGUGAAGGAGGCAGUGUUGACUACAGUUAUCUGCAACCAGGUCAAGAUGGCUAUGCCCAAUAUGCUCAGUAUUCACAGGAUUAUCAGCAGUUUUAUCAACAACAAGCUGGAGGAUUGGAAUCUGAUGCAUCAUCUGCAUCAGGCACAGCAGUGACCACCACCUCAGCGGCUGUAGUGUCCCAGAGUCCUCAGCUGUAUAAUCAAACCUCCAAUCCACCUGGCUCUCCGGUAAUCCUGUUGUCCUAUAUACAAAACUCGUGGCUGAUGGGGAAAUUUUGUUUUGCUAUACAAGUAUUACCCUUUCCUGUUGUAUGAGCCAGGAUUGAGUAAUACACACUUCAACCUUAUUUCUUUCUGUUGUUU
This 585-nucleotide small RNA is filed under the name Pan troglodytes (chimpanzee). Its description in RNAcentral is "retained intron". Lineage: Eukaryota; Metazoa; Chordata; Mammalia; Primates; Hominidae. The record is from RNAcentral.